This 412-nucleotide long non-coding RNA is filed under the name Rattus norvegicus (Norway rat). RNAcentral describes it as "long non-coding RNA NONRATT012010". Lineage: Eukaryota; Metazoa; Chordata; Mammalia; Rodentia; Muridae. The record is from RNAcentral.
GAGACAGAAAAUUUGAAGAAACAACAUGAUUUAUUAAAAAGAAUGUUACAACAGCAGGAACAGCUGCGAGCUCUACAGGGCCGACAAGCUGCUCUGCUAGCUUUGCAGCAUAAAGCAGAGCAAGCUAUAGCUGUGAUGGAUGACUCUGUUGUUACAGAAACUACAGGAAGCUUAUCUGGAGUCAGCAUCACAUCUGAACUAAAUGAAGAACUGAAUGAUUUAAUUCAGCGUUUCCAUAAUCAGCUUCGUGAUUCUCAGCCUCCAGCUGUUCCAGACAACAGAAGACAGGCGGAAAGUCUUUCAUUAACUAGAGAGAUUUCUCAGAGCAGAAAUCCCUCAGUUUCUGAACAUUUACCUGAUGAAAAAGUACAGCUGUUUAGCAAAAUGAGAGUACUACAGGAAAAGAAACAGA